UAAGUGAAGCUUCAUACUGCUACCAAAUAGAAUGAUGCUUUACCUUGGUUGAGUUAAAGGUAAUCUACCAAUCAAUAAAGGCAAUGAUAAUAUUGUAGAUGGGUAAUAUAUAUCACACAAAAAUAUACUUAACAUUUUUGUUCCAACAAUUGUGUUGCAUAACUAAACUAAAGGAUAAUAUUCAUAAUAUAUAUAUUAUUUUUCACGAAAGAACAGUAGAGAGUCUCUACGAAAAUCAAUCAUUCUUACGCUCCCACCACUAUCGAGCCAGGUGUAAUUUUGCGGACUACGAGAGCGAUAGCGAGUGAUCCACAAGCUCAGUCUGCGUGUGCGAAACACUUCCUUUCUCUCAUGAAAAAUAGUGUAGGUAAUAUUUUUAAAUAAAUUANGAAUUAAGUGUGUAUGUAUGUAUUUUUUAAAUAAAGUUAUUAUGUUUGUACAAAGUAUUGUAGUAACAUUUUACUCAAUGUUUUCAUAAAUAACAUAAUAAAUUUAUAUUCAUUUUUUACUGGAAAUGCUUAGUUUGGAUGUCAAUUUACAACCACAAUCCUUUGUCUUGAAACUUAGUUUUUAAUGGCAUUGAGUAUAUCCUGGUGCUUAAAAAAUUAAUUUAUGGCUACUACUUCAUGAAGUGUAAUUUGACCUAUCAAUUUUUGAAGAUAAGGUAAUUUGGUAUUGUAUGGAUUUAUAUCAGUUUGUGUGUGAUUUUUCUAACCCAACCUAAUCUACCAAGAUGAUAGCAUAGUUGGUUUUUAGAUAGUGUACAACCAUCAUAGUAAUUUUAGUAAAUUCAUUAUUCUUUAAUAUAAUAAUAUUAUAAUUAUAUAGCUCACUGAGGGUCACUGUUUUUUUAUAUUAACAAUUAUAUCAUAAAUGCAUAAUUUAUAAAGGUUACAUUAAUUUUCAGAUGUCUAUUUUGUUUUACAUUUUAAUUAACAGAUUUCUAAUUUAAAAUAUUAUAUAUUUUAACACUUACAUAAUAUUCAUUAUCAUAAUAUUGCAUAUAUAUAUAUAGAUACUGAUUCAAAAGUCUAAAUGUUCUUCAUUAGGUAUUAAAUAUUUAAAUUUUUCCAUCACGCAUUCAUAAUAAAUACUUUAGGCUGAUUCAUGUUCUAUUAAUCAAGCUGGGUUUCAGAAUCCAGUUUACUCUUUAAUUUUUUUGGGAAAAUGUUGGAGUCCUAACAAUUCAGAAUGCUAAAUUAUCAGAUUAUCAGAAUAUUUUUUAUCUUAGAACUCUUUAUUUUCUUGCACCAGCUGUCUGAUAAAUAAUUGUUCUGUUAUUUUGUUUUUCAGCACAUCUAUUUUCUAACAAAAAUCAUUAUAAUUAUUUAUGAGCCAUUAAACAUUUUGUCUUUUGGUAUUUAAUCUCUUAAAAAAUUGUUUUACAUAAUAUUAUUUUUAAACAAUUAUAUCUUAAUUUGUCUACUACUUUGUGCAAAGGAUAUUUAAGCAUCAAAUCAGUUUGGGUCACAGUAGUAAUAUACUUGUAUUUACACCACUUACUCAAAUAGACAUCUAUUCUAAAUCUAUUUUCUAGAAUAAAACUCCAGUAGUGCAUAUUCACUAAUAUUUGUCAAUAUAAGUUGAAUUAUAAUAAUGAUAAUUUAAUAAUCCAGUCUUGGACAAAAUAAAAUAAUUUUAUUUCUGAAUUUCUUAGGGCAACUGGAACAAAUUGUUAUUGUCAUUGGGUUACUAAGUAUAAACUUAAGCAGCAGGCUGCAAAUUAUGCAUGGACAUAAGUCCUUCAUAUGUCUAUAAUAUCAUUUCAUGACCAUAUUGGGAUCUAACUUAUCUAUUCAGAACUAUUAUCAUUUUUAAUAUUUCCUGCAGCAUAGUAUUAUAUACUAUACACAAUAUGUAUUUACACACCUUACAAAAAUAUACAUUAUAUAGUAUAAUUUGAUGUAACUUAUGUAAAUGGUACACUUAAAAGAAUUAUUCAAAACAAUUUUGUUCUUCAGAAUAGUUCUUCAAUUCUCAAAGAAUAAUUUGGACUUUUUACCAAAUACCCAUGGAGAUAGUAAAUAAUUUGUGUGACAAAAACAGCACAAAUAACAAAGUACUACAAGUAUUCAAAUGUAAAUUGAAAAGCAUAAAACUAAAAUUGUAUAUAAUUUAAUUAUCUUAUUCAAUUGAUUUAUAUAUAAUAAUCAAAUUAUUCAUUUGAAUAAUAAAUAUUUUAACUUAUUUUUUGUUAUUAAUAAUUGUUAAUCCAUUUAUACUGUACCAAAUCGACUAAUUUAAAAAUAUGUAUUAUAUAAAAAAAAAAACUUAAUUAAAAUGUUAUAAUUCAUAGUUUCUAUGAUAUUGAAUAAUUUGAUGAGUUAAAUUUUAUCGAGGAAAAUGUCCUCUGUAUAGAUUAUUCAUAAUAUUAUAAAUAAGUAGGUAAUUUAGUUAAGACAGAAAUUAAGGAACAAUUACAAACAUGGCUUGUACAAAUGUAUAAUAGAAAAAAAAAAACAAUAUUGUACACUAUCAUUACUAUUUGGUAUUAUAUCAGCUUAAGUUACAUUAGUUCAACAUAGUAGUACAUUAGGUAUUUAUAAACUAACAAUACUUAGCAUAUCAAUAUUCUUAUGUUUACAAAUUAAAUAGAUUUUUGUUUUAAAAACUUUUGUAAAAUUGUAAUUAUAAUUUAAUUAUUUUUAUAGGAGUACCACCUGCUUGGUGGUCCUGGAGAAGUUUUUGGACAUUAUUCAGUUCCUGAUUCCAUUAAUAUCAUAUUGCUAUAUUAAAGCAGAUGAAGCUUCAUACUACUACCAAAUGUAAUGUUGCCUUACCUUGUUUGAGUUAAGGGUAAUAACCUAACCUAACUUAACCUUGUUGUCUUUAGUAGACUUACACUUAAACAUCAUUUCUCUUGAAAUUGCUAAUUUAAUCAGCUAAUUCAAUGUUUAAUUUUUUUGGUCCAGUAACCUAACAGACUAAUUUAAAAUUAUGUGGUAUAAAAAAAAAAAAAAACAAACAAAUUAAAAUAUUAUAAUUCUUAGUUUCUAUGAAAUAGUUUCUUAAAUACUAUUGAAAGAAAAAAGAAAAAAUAUGAACAAAUGUUAUAUUAUUGAUUACUUUGAUUUAAGUUCCUAAAAUGUGAUUUAUUAUUUUGUUUCAAUUUUAUUAAUAAUAAUAAUAACUUUAUUCACUUUUUUAAAGAAGUUUUCCACAUUAAUUGCUUUUUAUUAUUUUAAUUAAGUGACUACUUUGCAAAUAAGAAAGCUUUGUUUUAAUAGAAAUAUUAUUUCAGAUUGAGCACAUAAAUGAGAUGACCAGCCGAUUCAUUUAAAGUAGAUCUUUAAAUAAAAUAUUCAAAUAUACUAAAAGAAGAUAAGAAAAAUAAUGAAAUGGAAAAGGUACACAUUUUUGAGUUUAAAAUAUUAUUAGUACAGAAACAAAAACCAGAUUUUAUGUUUUAGGGAAAUGGAUAUACAAUUUGCUUACUAAUAAGAAAAAUUGUUGAAUUUAGCAACAAUUUUAUACAAUUGGGUUUGGCAGAUACUAAGUGGAAAAUUAAAAUAAACAACACACAAGUUAUAAGAUAAGCAGCAUACUAUAUAACGUUUUCUAAUUUAAUUU
RNAcentral lists this long non-coding RNA (3570 nucleotides) under Cinara cedri. The record is from RNAcentral. Lineage: Eukaryota; Metazoa; Arthropoda; Insecta; Hemiptera; Aphididae.